GGAGGGGUGGCAGAGCGGUCAAAUGCAACGGACUGUAAAUCCGUCGGGGCAACCCUACACUGGUUCGAAUCCAGUCCCCUCCACCA
RNAcentral lists this transfer RNA (86 nucleotides) under Paracoccaceae bacterium. RNAcentral's name for it is "Rhodobacteraceae bacterium (activated sludge metagenome) tRNA-Tyr". It matches the Rfam family "tRNA". From Rfam's summary of the family: Transfer RNA (tRNA) molecules are approximately 80 nucleotides in length. Their secondary structure includes four short double-helical elements and three loops (D, anti-codon, and T loops). Lineage: Bacteria; Pseudomonadati; Pseudomonadota; Alphaproteobacteria; Rhodobacterales; Paracoccaceae. RNAcentral also lists the same sequence under 2 other names. The record is from RNAcentral.